UACGUAGGGUCCAAGCGUUAUCCGGAAUCACUGGGCGUAAAGCGUACGUAGGCGGACAUUUAAGUGCAACGCGAAAUCCUGUGGCUCAACCAUAUGGACUGUGUUGCAUACUGGAUGUCUUGAGGAUGGCAGAGGCAAGUGGAAUUACCGGUGUAGCAGUGAAAUGCGUAGAUAUCAGGAGGAACACCGGUGGCGAAGGCGACACGCUGGGCCGUACCUGACACUGAUGCGCGACAGCAUGGGGAGCAAACAGG
This 254-nucleotide ribosomal RNA is filed under the name uncultured bacterium. RNAcentral's name for it is "partial 16S ribosomal RNA". It matches the Rfam family "Bacterial small subunit ribosomal RNA", at positions 524 to 776 of the family's 1533-position model. The record is from RNAcentral.